This 292-nucleotide ribosomal RNA is filed under the name uncultured bacterium. RNAcentral's name for it is "partial 16S ribosomal RNA". It matches the Rfam family "Archaeal small subunit ribosomal RNA", at positions 455 to 747 of the family's 1478-position model. The record is from RNAcentral.
GUGCCAGCCGCGCGGUAAUACCGGCAGCCCGAGUGAUGGCCGAUCUUAUUGGGCCUAAAGCGUCCGUAGCUGGCCAUGCAAGCCCACUGGGAAAUCCACCCGCCCAACGGGUGGCCGUCCGGUGGAACCUGUGUGGCUUGGGACCGGAAGGCGCGACGGGUACGUCCGGGGUAGGAGUGAAAUCCCGUAAUCCUGGACGGACCGCCGAUGGCGAAAGCACGUCGCGAGGACGGAUCCGACAGUGAGGGACGAAAGCCAGGGUCUCGAACCGGAUUAGAAACCCGAGUAGUCC